RNAcentral lists this ribosomal RNA (456 nucleotides) under Triticum aestivum (bread wheat). RNAcentral describes it as "partial small subunit ribosomal RNA". Lineage: Eukaryota; Viridiplantae; Streptophyta; Magnoliopsida; Poales; Poaceae. The record is from RNAcentral.
AUGCUGCCGGCUGCCGUCAAGUUCGAUCCCACAGAUCAGGAGCUGAUCGAGCACCUUGAGGCCAAAGUGAGUGCUGACAGCGCGAUAUCUCACCCUCUCAUCGAUUUGUUCAUACCAACCAUCGACAGCGAGCACGACAUAUGCUACACCCAUCCUGAGAAACUUCCAGCAACAUGCCAAAGAUGUUAUGAAAAUGCCAAGGCGUUCAAAAGGGGCAUGUGGACGCAUCGCAAGAUACAGUCGGAGUGCGGCAUGCACGCGAUGUGGCACAACACCUACAAUACCUUGCCGGUGAUGGUCAACGACAGGCAGAUGGGCAGCAAAAAGGUUCUGGUGCUGCACAUCAACAAGAACUUUGACCAGCAGAGGACCAACUGGGUGAUGCACCAGUACCACCUCGGGGACCUGGAGCAAGAGAAGGAGCGGGAGCUGGUCCUCUGCAAGAUUUUCUACUAG